This 265-nucleotide long non-coding RNA is filed under the name Homo sapiens (human). RNAcentral describes it as "HSALNT0221463". The record is from RNAcentral. Lineage: Eukaryota; Metazoa; Chordata; Mammalia; Primates; Hominidae.
GAUCUCCAACAUACUAAAUACCAGAUCACCUAGCAUACCAAAUACCAGAUCUCCCAACAUACCAAAUAUCAGAUCAACCAACAAACCAAAUACCAGAUCACCAACAAACCAAAUACCAGAUCUCCCAACAUACCGAAUACCAGAUCACCAACAUACCAAAUACCAGAUCUCCAACAUACCAAAUACCAGAUCUCCAACAUACCAAAUACCAGAUCUCCAACAUACCAAAUACCAGAUCAACAACAUACUAGAUCUCCUAAGAUCU